AUGACUCGGGAUGGUCCCGACCGCGCUUCAUAUCAGGCUCCGCCGCGAGGACGGCCACUCCUUUGCGCUUCACAUCCUUGGCCUUGGCUUUCUUCUCUUCUGGGUCGGCAGCUUCAAGAGCCGUGCAUAGCUCCUCGUGGAUGGUCACCUGCGGCCGGAGGGCGGUCGCGAGUGCCCUGGAAGUUGGCGAUGAAGCGGUCGCGCAUCCUAUCCCAGGAGGAGAUCGAGCCUGAGGGCAGGUUCAGGAGCCAUGGGGAACCAGUUCGCCAUGACCUUUUCGUCGCCGUUGGCCACCUCGAUGCUCAGCUUGUAGAGCUGCAAGAACUCCGCAGGGUCGGGGGUGCCGUCGUAGCGAGGAGGCAGAUCCGGCUUGAACUUGCCCGACCAGACGACGCCACGCAGCUCAGGGGUGAAGGCGCGGCAACCGGCCGUGGCCACCGGGCCCUGUCGUGGAGGCGGAGCUUUAUCUUGGUGUCCCCGCGCUGCCACGGCAAGUGGCGCGUGGCCCCGCUGUGCCAAGCGAUCCUGACAUGGCGGUGCUGGGAGCGGUGGAGCGUUUUCUUGCGGUCGGGGUACUUCUUGGCAGCUUCCUUCUUCCCGCGCGGGUGCCCGGCGCGGCGGGUCGUACCGAGGGGCCGCGCGUCUUGGCGCCAGAGCGCCGUCUUGGUGCAGAGGUGGCGGAGGUGCUCCGUGAGCUACGUCGCCCGCAGUUGGCGGAGGGCGAGGCAUCGAGAGGGAUGGCGUGGGGGAGCCCCCAGUGGCGCUGACGAGCUCGGCGAUGCGGUCCAACCAGUCCUCGUAGAGGUCGUCGACCGGGCGGUAGCGCAGGAGCUCGCGUGCCAUGAGCAGCGCGGCCUGCGCGUCUAUGGGAGCGCGGCGAGCGUGAGACGACGAGCCGGCUGGGGUCAGCGAUGGAGUGGCGGUGCGGCCAUCCCGCUGCACGGAGGGGUGCAGAGAGGAUGCUUGCUGCUCAUUUCCCGCCGGACCGAUGGCGGCGUUGGCGGCGGGUGA
This 1011-nucleotide ribosomal RNA is filed under the name Triticum aestivum (bread wheat). RNAcentral's name for it is "partial small subunit ribosomal RNA". The record is from RNAcentral. Lineage: Eukaryota; Viridiplantae; Streptophyta; Magnoliopsida; Poales; Poaceae.